Molecule: ribosomal RNA, 321 nt
Filed under: uncultured Rhogostoma
Lineage: Eukaryota; Cercozoa; Thecofilosea; Cryomonadida
Description: SSU rRNA
Rfam family: Eukaryotic small subunit ribosomal RNA (bases 60-321)
Source: RNAcentral
GAUUUCUGACUUGGCGCACCUGGCCCGCCACGGUUACGUGUGUGAGUGCCGGGAUGCGCCUGUCACUUUUCUGGUAAACCAUUGUGCUCUUCACUGAGUGCGAUGGGUAGCCAGAUAUUUUACUUUGAAAAAAUUAGAGUGUUUAAAGCAGGCGUUUGCUAUGAAUACAUUAGCAUGGAAUAAUAAGUUAGGACUUCGGUUCUAUUUUGUUGGUUUCUAGGACUGAAGUAAUGAUUGAUAGGGAUAGUUGGGGGUGCUAGUAUUCAGCGGCCAGAGGUGAAAUUCUCGGAUUCGCUGAAGACUAACUUAUGCGAAAGCAUU